Molecule: small RNA, 497 nt
Filed under: Rattus norvegicus (Norway rat)
Lineage: Eukaryota; Metazoa; Chordata; Mammalia; Rodentia; Muridae
Description: uncharacterized LOC102549350
Source: RNAcentral
GAUUCCACCUUCCCACACUCCCCUUGUUUUCCUCCUCUGAGUACCCCAGACACUCACUUCUGGAUUUUGGAAGUGGAAAAUGCUUUUGCUUCUUGUUUACCUCCUCUUCAUAGAAACCAGAUCUUGCUGGUCCUCACUUGGAGGUAACCUCGGGUUCUGAAGAGCUUUGAGAAUCACUGUCCAUGAGCAGGCAGCCACUUCCUUACAGCAAGAAAGAUUCUAAGAGUCAUAAAUCAGCAUCCUGUAAAGGAUCAUUGAUGAGAUCGCCCUGUUCUCAGCAGCAUCUCGCAGCAGCAGCAGCAGCAGCAGCAGCAGCAGCAGCAGCAGCAGCAGCAGCAGCACCCAGGACUGGACACUGCCCGCCUCAGUGAUUGACAAGCUUCUGUGAUUAUUUCUGCUUGACUGUUGCGGAAUCGAUGCUGCUUAGAGAAGCAGCAAUGCCUUUAAAAGCCGUUAUGUCGUAGGAAACAAUAGCUACAUAAUAAAAUAGUCAAUGU